Molecule: ribosomal RNA, 129 nt
Filed under: Halomonas daqiaonensis
Lineage: Bacteria; Pseudomonadati; Pseudomonadota; Gammaproteobacteria; Oceanospirillales; Halomonadaceae
Description: 16S rRNA. Bacterial SSU
Rfam family: Bacterial small subunit ribosomal RNA
Source: RNAcentral
UUAAACUGAAGAGUUUGAUCAUGGCUCAGAUUGAACGCUGGCGGCAGGCCUAACACAUGCAAGUCGAGCGGUAACAGGCCCUUCGGGGUGCUGACGAGCGGCGGACGGGUGAGUAAUGCAUAGGAAUCU